AUGGGGGUUCGGCGGCGUAAAGCUCAUCGAAAUUAAACCUUACAAGCAUAUUUAUGGGGACUGUCCCUGACAACGGUGUGCAAGCUCAGCUCGUACUGAGAAGCCUAAAGUUGUUAUAAUGGUUACCCACCUUAGCUAAAACAGGUUUAUGUUUCAGAGUGGCCUUCGAGCCUUUUUU
Bdellovibrio bacteriovorus W is the source of this 178-nucleotide non-coding RNA. The record is from Rfam. NCBI's taxonomy places the organism in Bacteria, Pseudomonadati, Bdellovibrionota, Bdellovibrionia, Bdellovibrionales, Pseudobdellovibrionaceae.